UUUCCGUAGGUGAACCUGCGGAAGGAUCAUUAUUGUAUAACCGAGGUGCGAGGGCUGUCGCUGACCCGAAAGGUCGUGCACGCCCGAGUGCCCUCACACACAUCCAUCUCACCCCUAUGUGCACCACCGCGUGGGUCCCCCUUUGGCUUGUUCGGAGGGGGGCUUACGUUUUCACACAAACUUUGUAUGCAGUGUAGAAUGUAUUUUUUGUUUUUGCGAUCACGCAAUCAAUACAACUUUCAACAACGGAGCUCUUGGCUCUCGCAUCGAGGAAGAACGCAGC
Molecule: unclassified non-coding RNA, 283 nt
Filed under: plant metagenome
Description: partial contains small subunit ribosomal RNA, internal transcribed spacer 1, and 5.8S ribosomal RNA
Rfam family: 5.8S ribosomal RNA (bases 235-283)
Source: RNAcentral